Strigops habroptila (Kakapo) is the source of this 1658-nucleotide long non-coding RNA. NCBI's taxonomy places the organism in Eukaryota, Metazoa, Chordata, Aves, Psittaciformes, Psittacidae. The record is from Ensembl.
GGUUCCGCUCCGGGAAGCGGCCGGGAACGGGGCCGGUCCGGUCCGGUCCGGAUGGGCUCGGGGAGCCGCGGGGCGGGCGCGGAGCGCAGGAGCUCUUGGCUUGGUCAGGAGUGAAUCCCCAGCUUGGCGUAGCAGCGCCAGUGGCUAUGGAGUGACCUGUGCUCCGGGUGCGUGGCUGAAGCGGCUGCCUGGGCACCGAAUGCGCCCGGCCCACGUGCUCCUCGCCUCUGCCAUGAAUGAUGCAUCGACGAUGGAUUAUGAACUGCUGUCCCCCUCCUUGGUUGAGCACCCAGCCGGCUCUGCGGGUAUGGAUGCUGAGCAGAAAACCGUCUUUGCCUUUGUCAUCUUCCUUCUGGUCUUCUUGGUGAUGCUGAUGGUGCGCUGCUUCCGCAUCCUGCUGGACCCCUACAGCCGCAUGCCCGCCUCCUCCUGGACUGACCACAAGGAGGGGUUGGAGAGGGGCCAGUUUGACUACGCCUUGGUGUAGAGGGCAGGGAUGGGGCGAGCCUGGGUGCUCUGUGUGCCUCCCACCCCGGCUGGCCCCGGCCCCGGCCCCCCCUUCCUCUGUGGUGUUGCCCUGGGCCAGCAAGGAUGCUCUGGGCAGGGAGGGGAGGUCAGGCUCUCGCCCGGGGUGGGUUUUCUAGGGGUUUCUCUCUUUUCUAAGCACUUUUCAGUUCUCUUUGCAGUCUGCAGGACUCUUGGAGAGAUAUGUUGGAGGGGGAGAUGUGGCUCUGCAUGGUCCCUGCUGCCCACCGUGGGACAGGGGCAGGAGGUGAUGGGGCAGGGCAUGGCGGGACCUGCCCUUGGCCACAGCCCACAGGGCUCCUGCUCUGGGUGGCUCUGCCUGGUGCCAGGCCAGAGCUUUGACCCCCACCUCCUCCUGCCCCCCCAUGUCACCCUCGUCUGUGUCCUCCGGGGAGUGCUGAUCGUGGUCCAGUGCGUGUGUGUGUGUGUCCCUGUAGCUGAGCUGUGUCUGUCAGGGGGUUUAUAGGCACCAGACCCAAGUGCUGGCUUUGUUCUUCUCUGUGUGGCAGCCCCAAGUGCCCCCCACCCCCAGUCCAUAAGUGAUGGGGAGAUGGAGACCCCCAUGUGCAGCCCCCUUUGGGCAUCCAGCCCUGCAGCCUGCUCCGCUUUACACCGCAGUGACCUGUCCAUGCCCAACUGGUGAAGAUGGUCUGAGCAAGGUGCAGUCAAGCAGCUUCCUGCAGACCUGCCGGGGGGGCCCUGCUGGGAUCCCAGGAGGCAUCCAUGAUCCCAUACAACACUUGGGAGAUGCUUCUCAGCCAGCCCAAGCCUGGCAGCCUCCGACUGUUAUCCCACUACGGCCAGUCCCUGCUACAGAGGGAUUGGGGUGGCCUCCCCAUGGCUGGGGGUUGCUGAAAGGGGCAGAGGGGGGUGACUCUUCCCUGGCCAUCCUGUAUCUGGGUAUCAGAAGGUGUGUGUAAGUAGCUGAGGGGAAAGUAGUGUAAGUAGCUGUCCUCCUGCCGCUCUGCUGAACCAUGCCUAGUGAGUCGGGGUGCUGCAGCUAGCCCAGGGCUAGCCAAAGCCGUGGUGGGUUAUGGUGUGGGCUGGUAAGAAGGUUUAUACUAAGGGAUGUGAGCACAUGGGGGAGAACCUCUCCCUCCACCAUGGAAAUAAAGCUGCACUGUGCUAACCCC